Pecten maximus is the source of this 1636-nucleotide long non-coding RNA. RefSeq lists it as uncharacterized. The record is from RefSeq and is a predicted model, not a curated record. The transcript is spliced from 5 exons. NCBI's taxonomy places the organism in Eukaryota, Metazoa, Mollusca, Bivalvia, Pectinida, Pectinidae.
UAUUUAAGAUAUUAACGACUUCUUCUCUGGACCUAAGCAAUGUUUGACAUUUAUAUUUCAGUGGUAACAUCUCUAGAUGGCUGGGAUUUAAAUUAAUACAACUGAUGGGCUGAUCCCCCCAGGUGCUUCAAGGGCAGGGCAAAAGGGAUCAGUCCAAGCUGCAGUAAGGAAUGCUCCAUAUGCCAGAUCUAGAUCAGGAAACAGCUACAUGGUAUCCAGAGCUACAAAACAAAAAGGCCAGUCUGUUACAGGUGAUCCUGUGGCUGAUUAUCUCCCCUACAUUGAUUGAUGUUAGGAUCUAUGUACAUGUCUAUAGCUCCAGAAAAUGCCCAACAACCUGAAACUUAAACACUUUUCUGCUCAAGAUGUUGUUCUGUGUAAAGUAAAAUGGAAGUUGUCUAAGAAGGUGAUCCUGUGAGUGAUUGUCUCCCUUACAUUGAUUGACAGUGGGAUCUACAUGGAAGUCCAGAAAAUGCCCAACAUGCUGUUUGAUAUUUAAAAAGUUUGUCGCUCAGAUGUAGUUCUUGGUCAGUGCCAAAACCCUAGAGAUAUACUCCACUUUCAACGAUAGAUACUGGUAUGACAUCACACAGGAUAUAUACUGAUUUGGCAUGAUGGCACAGCUAGAAAGAUGCUUGUAUUUGAAGAAAGCGUUACAACAUUUUAAUAUGAUUUUUUUUUAUCAACCUGCUGUGACUUUCUUAAAACAGAAACAAGUGGAAUCACUAACCAUUUUAGCAUCUAAGAAAGAUUGUUUUUCAACUUUACCAACAGGGUAUGGAAAGUCCUUGAUACAUGAACUGUUGCCUGUUUUUGUUGAAGACUUACUUGUUGUGGUAAUUUGUCCAUUGAAUUUGAUUAUUUCUCAAGAACAAUCAAAGCUAGGAAAUUUGACAAAAUUUAUUCGGAAUAUUGAAAGUGAAGAGAAAGUGAAAUACACGUGUACAUUUUUGGCCAUCCAGAAGAUAUUUUGAACAACUCUUUUUAUUAUAUAUUUAUUUAUUUAUCCAUUUCUCAGUCUUCAAAACAUUUAUUCUUAGUUGUUGAUGAAGCACAUUGUAUUGUUAACUGGGGGCAAGAUUUCACACCUGCAUUCAGAUUAAUACCAGAUCUAUUAACUGCUUUGGAAAAUGUAACUAUUUUGGCUUUAACAGCAACAUCAACUUCAGACAGUCGUGCAGAUAUUAUCAAGACAUUAUGUAUGAAUAAACCCAGUAUUAUAAAUAUCUCCAGUAUUGAAUGAAAACAUAUAUCUGAGAUUAUGGACUCGUCCACCAAGCACUGGGGGAAAUCAAACUGUUGAAGCAUCAUAUGAGCGCGUUUUAAAAUUAUUCUUAUGUGAAAUGUUGGAAAACAUGGAUAAUUUCCCUCCGACAAACAUUUACACAAAGUUAAAGUGGUGUGGGUAUCGAGUGGAGUUGGCACACAAUCCAUCAUGAUGAGAUAUACAGUGGUGGGUAUACAGUCCAGAACUGUAGAGUUGUGCAGUUUCCAUUCACCACAAUCUAAUCAGGUAUGUUCAAAUAUAGUUCAAGCUGGCACCAAUUCUAAGAUUUUCAUUUUCAUUAUUUCAUUUUUUAUUAGGUUGAUGUUUUUUUCGGCAUAGCCGUCUAAUUUCGUUUUGGCCCCGGAUAUG